This 77-nucleotide small RNA is filed under the name Xanthomonas arboricola. RNAcentral describes it as "sRNA sX9". It matches the Rfam family "Xanthomonas sRNA sX9". RNAcentral also lists the same sequence under 1 other name. The record is from RNAcentral. Lineage: Bacteria; Pseudomonadati; Pseudomonadota; Gammaproteobacteria; Lysobacterales; Lysobacteraceae.
AUGUACCGCUCGUACGCGCCGGUUCAUGCGCGUCGGCCGCGCCCACACCUGACACUGCUCGCUACGCUUUGUCGGCC